RNAcentral lists this long non-coding RNA (563 nucleotides) under Olea europaea subsp. europaea. Lineage: Eukaryota; Viridiplantae; Streptophyta; Magnoliopsida; Lamiales; Oleaceae. The record is from RNAcentral.
CAAUAACCAAAAAGAAGAAGAAGAAAAGAAACAAUAGCCAUUUUAAUAUACUGACGACAUUCAAUUAAAAAUUCAUUUGAUAACAUUCAGAAACUUGAUUAAUUUUCUUAAGGAAGAUAGAAAAUUUAUAUAUGAAUAUACAAUAAUAGGAACACAAAAUUUCUCUCUCAGUGAUAUUGCACCUGUAUGGCUCUUUCGAUGAAACUAGGUAAAAGUCCACCGAUUGAAUGGAAUCGGCCUAGGUUUGGGGCUUCCGUUGGAGGUGUGGCUGGGCUCAUAAGCUUCGGAGCCAAAGCAGACGAAGGUGAAGUGUGCCUCUUGUUGUGAAACAGAGCCUUAGCCGGAGUCUCGCUCUAGUGCGCAAAAGCCGGAUUUGGUGAUGUUGAUGCCUCGGAAACUAGAGAUGGUGGAUAGUGGACUAGAGUAGUCGGCAGUGGUGAGCUGACUGGCUCAAAUGCUGGAGGUGAGCUCACUGGAGCCAGCAUUGAAAUAAUCUUCGACGACGAUAGAGAAAGGAAGAGAGACGAGAGAAGAUAGAUGAGAGAAAAAAUUGGAAAAUGAAA